This 786-nucleotide ribosomal RNA is filed under the name uncultured Bacillota bacterium. RNAcentral's name for it is "bacterial SSU rRNA". It matches the Rfam family "Bacterial small subunit ribosomal RNA", at positions 57 to 874 of the family's 1533-position model. Lineage: Bacteria; Bacillati; Bacillota. The record is from RNAcentral.
GCAAGUCGAACGAGAAAGUGGAGCAAUCCAUGAGUAAAGUGGCGACCGGGUGAGUAACACGUGACUAACCUACCUCCGAGUGGGGAAUAACUCCGGGAAACCGGGGCUAAUACCGCAUAACAUCGCAAGAUCAAAGCAGCAAUGCGCUUGGAGAGGGGGUCGCGGCUGAUUAGCUAGUUGGCGGGGUAACGGCCCACCAAGGCGAAGAUCGGUAUCCGGCCUGAGAGGGCGCACGGACACACUGGAACUGAAACACGGUCCAGACUCCUACGGGAGGCAGCAGUGGGGAAUUUUGCGCAAUGGGGGAAACCCUGACGCAGCAACGCCGCGUGGAGGAUGAAGUCCCUUGGGACGUAAACUCCUUUCGACCAAGACGAUAAUGACGGUACUGGUGGAAGAAGCACCGGCUAACUCUGUGCCAGCAGCCGCGGUAAUACAGAGGGUGCGAGCGUUGUUCGGAAUUAUUGGGCGUAAAGGGCGCGUAGGCGGUGCCACAAGUCACUUGUGAAAUCCCCGGGCUUAACUCGGGGCCUGCAGGCGAAACUGUGGUGCUGGAGUAUGGGAGAGGUGCGUGGAAUUCCCGGUGUAGCGGUGAAAUGCGUAGAUAUCGGGAGGAACACCUGUGGCGAAAGCGGCGCACUGGACCAUAACUGACGCUGAGGCGCGAAAGCUAGGGGAGCAAACAGGAUUAGAUACCCUGGUAGUCCUAGCCCUAAACGAUGAUUGCUUGGUGUAGCAGGUACCCAAUCCUGCUGUGCCGCAGCUAACGCGAUAAGCAAUCCGCCU